GGCCCUGUCUUCUAGUGGCUAGGAAAUCUCGCUUUCAAUGAGAAAACACGAGUUCGAUUCUCGUCAGGGCCG
RNAcentral lists this transfer RNA (72 nucleotides) under bacterium. RNAcentral's name for it is "tRNA-Glu". It matches the Rfam family "tRNA". Rfam says of the family: Transfer RNA (tRNA) molecules are approximately 80 nucleotides in length. Their secondary structure includes four short double-helical elements and three loops (D, anti-codon, and T loops). The record is from RNAcentral.